This is an RNA transcript of Prionailurus viverrinus (fishing cat), 1242 nucleotides long. It is a transcript of the gene named deoxyribonuclease 1 like 3, with no coding region annotated. Lineage: Eukaryota; Metazoa; Chordata; Mammalia; Carnivora; Felidae. The record is from RefSeq and is a predicted model, not a curated record. The transcript is spliced from 9 exons.
GUCAGCUGAGCCUGAAGCAGUGGCCUAGAGCUCGCACACCAGACACCGCUGCCCUCUCUCUGAACCCAGAGGAACAUCAGGAUGCCUCAGCCGCCCACCUUCCUCCUGCUUCUCCUCCUUUCCACCGGCAGUGCCCUGGCCCUGAGGCUCUGCUCCUUUAAUGUGAGGUCCUUUGGGGAAGCCAAGAAGGAAAACAAGAAUGCCAUGGAUGUCAUCGUGAAGGUCAUCAAACGCUGUGAUAUCAUACUCCUGAUGGAAAUCAAGGACAGCAAAAACAUUAUCUGUCCCAUGCUGAUGGACAGACUAAAUGGAAAUUCAAGAAAUUCAAGAAAAGGCAUAACGUACAACUAUGUGAUUAGCUCUCGCCUUGGAAGAAACACAUAUAAAGAGCAGUAUGCCUUUCUCUACAAGGAAAAGCUACUGUCUGUGAAGAAACGCUACCUCUACCAUGACUAUCAGGCUGGAGACACAGAUGUAUUUUCCAGGGAACCCUUUGUGGUCUGGUUCCAGUCACCCUACACCGUUGUCAAGGACUUUGUGAUUGUCCCCCUGCACACCACCCCUGAGACCUCCGUUAAAGAGAUUGAUGAGCUGGCUGAUGUCUACACGGAUAUGAAACAUCGCUGGAAGGCGGAGAAUUUCAUUUUCAUGGGUGACUUCAAUGCUGGCUGUAGCUAUGUGCCCAAGAAGGCCUGGAAGAAUAUCCGCUUGAGGACUGACCCCGGGUUUGUUUGGCUGAUAGGGGACCAAGAGGACACCACAGUCAAGGAGAGCACCAACUGUGCAUAUGACAGGAUCGUGCUUCGAGGACAAGAGAUCAUCAGCUUUGUUGUUCACGGAUCAAACAGAACCUUUGACUUCCAGAAAGCUUAUGGGUUGACCAAAGAGGAGGCCUUGGAUGUCAGCGACCACUUUCCAGUUGAAUUUAAACUACAAUCUUCAAGGGUCUCCACCACCAACAAAAAAUCUAUCUCUCCAAGGAAGAAAAAGACCCGUCGCUCCUAGAUACAAGAAUUUCAUUUUAUUAACCAUUUCUUGCUUCUAAAUAAAACAGCUUUAACAGUGGUACCUGAACAUGGCUAAAUAUACGAGCAGUACCAAAGAAUAAGCAGAGACAAGAAAUGCUGCCCCGGGACCUCACCCACUCGGUUCCUGUCUCAGAAGCAACCCCUCUUACCAGUUUAUGCACCCUUCCAAGAGACUCUAUGCAUAAAUAAGCACCAUAUGUAACCUUGAAAUAUA